Molecule: long non-coding RNA, 228 nt
Filed under: Nicotiana benthamiana
Lineage: Eukaryota; Viridiplantae; Streptophyta; Magnoliopsida; Solanales; Solanaceae
Description: long non-coding RNA (NBEN_LNC013217)
Source: RNAcentral
AACAAACUAACUACUCGUAUACUAUAAUCUGAAUUAUUGCAUCUACUUUCUAGUUCUAGGAUUACCUCUAACAUUACAUAUAUAAGCUAGUUCCCUUACUAAGACUUCACUGUUAUGAAAAGUAUUCUCAAAUAUACGUGAAUUUCUUUCCAGCCAUAAAGCAUAUGAUACUUCAGCAAUCACCAUUUUGAAUAUACUGGCUCUACAGGAUUUCCCUUUAGCUUUACU